This 301-nucleotide ribosomal RNA is filed under the name uncultured bacterium. RNAcentral describes it as "partial 16S ribosomal RNA". It matches the Rfam family "Bacterial small subunit ribosomal RNA", at positions 509 to 807 of the family's 1533-position model. The record is from RNAcentral.
CAGUAGCCGCGGGAAUACAGAGGGUGCGAGCGUUAAUCGGAUUUACUGGGCGUAAAGCGUGCGUAGGCGGCUUCUUAAGUCGGAUGUGAAAUCCCUGAGCUUAACUUAGGAAUUGCAUUCGAUACUGGGAAGCUAGAGUAUGGGAGAGGAUGGUAGAAUUCCAGGUGUAGCAGUGAAAUGCGUAGAGAUCUGGAGGAAUACCGAUGGCGAAGGCAGCCAUCUGGCCUAAUACUGACGCUGAGGUACGAAAGCAUGGGGAGCAAACAGGAUUAGAUACCCCUGUAGUCCCUGUCUCUUAUAC